GACGAACGCUGGCGGCGUGCUUAACACAUGCAAGUCGAACGGAAAGGCCCUGCUUGCAGGGUGCUCGAGUGGCGAACGGGUGAGUAACACGUGGGUGAUCUGCCCCUUACUUUGGGAUAAGCCUGGGAAACUGGGUCUAAUACUGGAUAGGACCAUGCUGUAGGUGGUGUGGUGGAAAGAUUAGUUUCGGUAAGGGAUGAGCUCGCGGCCUAUCAGCUUGUUGGUGGGGUAAUGGCCUACCAAGGCGUCGACGGGUGGCCGGCCUGAGAGGGUGGGCGGCCACAUUGUGACUGCGAUACGACCCAGCCGCCUACGGGAGGCAGCAGUGGGGAAUAUUGCACAAUGGUCGCAAGCCUGAUGCAGCGACGCCGCGUGGGGGAUGACGGCCGUCGGGUUGUAAACUCCUUUCAGCCAUGACGAAGCCCUUGUGGUGACGGUAGUGGUAGAAGAAGCACCGGCUAACUACGUG
This 469-nucleotide ribosomal RNA is filed under the name uncultured bacterium. Its description in RNAcentral is "partial 16S ribosomal RNA". It matches the Rfam family "Bacterial small subunit ribosomal RNA", at positions 28 to 507 of the family's 1533-position model. The record is from RNAcentral.